CAUGCAGUCGAACGCUUUUUCUUUCACCGGAGCUUGCUCCACCGAAAGAAAAAGAGUGGCGAACGGGUGAGUAACACGUGGGUAACCUGCCCAUCAGAAGGGGAUAACACUUGGAAACAGGUGCUAAUACCGUAUAACACUAUUUUCCGCAUGGAAGAAAGUUGAAAGGCGCUUUUGCGUCACUGAUGGAUGGACCCGCGGUGCAUUAGCUAGUUGGUGAGGUAACGGCUCACCAAGGCCACGAUGCAUAGCCGACCUGAGAGGGUGAUCGGCCACACUGGGACUGAGACACGGCCCAGACUCCUACGGGAGGCAGCAGUAGGGAAUCUUCGGCAAUGGACGAAAGUCUGACCGAGCAACGCCGCGUGAGUGAAGAAGGUUUUCGGAUCGUAAAACUCUGUUGUUAGAGAAGAACAAGGAUGAGAGUARAACGUUCAUCCCUUGACGGUAUCUAACCAGAAAGCCACGGCUAACUACGUGCCAGCAGCCGCGGUAAUACGUAGGUGGCAAGCGUUGUCCGGAUUUAUUGGGCGUAAAGCGAGCGCAGGCGGUUUCUUAAGUCUGAUGUGAAAGCCCCCGGCUCAACCGGGGAGGGUCAUUGGAAACUGGGAGACUUGAGUGCAGAAGAGGAGAGUGGAAUUCCAUGUGUAGCGGUGAAAUGCGUAGAUAUAUGGAGGAACACCAGUGGCGAAGGCGGCUCUCUGGUCUGUAACUGACGCUGAGGCUCGAAAGCGUGGGGAGCGAACAGGAUUAGAUACCCUGGUAGUCCACGCCGUAAACGAUGAGUGCUAAGUGUUGGAGGGUUUCCGCCCUUCAGUGCUGCAGCAAACGCAUUAAGCACUCCGCCUGGGAGUACGACCGCAAGUUGAACUCAAGGAAUUGACGGGGCCGCACAGCGGUGGAGCAUGUGUUUAAUUCGAAGCAC
This 925-nucleotide ribosomal RNA is filed under the name Enterococcus gallinarum. Its description in RNAcentral is "bacterial SSU rRNA". The record is from RNAcentral. Lineage: Bacteria; Bacillati; Bacillota; Bacilli; Lactobacillales; Enterococcaceae.